ACAUCGAAAACCCAAGUUCUGGUCGCAGUGAGAAGCUCUGGAUACCUUGAGGAGGGUUCACCAGCUCUGCUUCAACAACGUUGACAUGGGUAAGGCAUUUUAUUCUAUUUUUGUACACCAAACACUGUAUAUAUCUUGAAGAACCUUUGCCUUCUGUUUGGAUCAUGGUUUCUUUAUGAACAUAUUCACUGAACAUGUUGCUACCCUAUUACAGAUCUUACCAACGUCAUCAACAGUCAAGGCAGACAUCUUUCUUCAAGAAAUCUGCCCAAAAGGAAAAACACUGAAAUUGGACCAGUCAAGCUGCAAGACUUUGUCGGCCAGUCAAAAGUGGACGCUGCAAUCCAAGGUGAAACUUUCUUUCUCAUGGUGGGGCACACGCAUGAAGAUUUGGAUCAACUGUUAAGUGUUUAGUGCAAGGGAACUUAGACAGAAGCCUGCAACAACCCGCGAUGCCCUCCUUCAAGAUUGGGGACAUCCGGACACCCACCACCAAGCUAUCAGACUUCAAGCCCUUCAUGCCUGCCCCAAGGGAAGCGACAACCUUCCCAACUAAAGUUCAAGAGGCAAUAGAGAAGAACAAUGAAAAACUGCAAAAACAAUCAAAGAUCACUCUGACAAAGCACCGAAGACAAGCGUCAGUAUCAGAACAAUAAAGAAG
Haliotis rufescens (red abalone) is the source of this 661-nucleotide long non-coding RNA. RefSeq lists it as uncharacterized. NCBI's taxonomy places the organism in Eukaryota, Metazoa, Mollusca, Gastropoda, Lepetellida, Haliotidae. The record is from RefSeq and is a predicted model, not a curated record. The transcript has 4 exons.